This 446-nucleotide ribosomal RNA is filed under the name uncultured bacterium. Its description in RNAcentral is "bacterial SSU rRNA". It matches the Rfam family "Bacterial small subunit ribosomal RNA", at positions 331 to 793 of the family's 1533-position model. The record is from RNAcentral.
CCAGACUCCUACGGGAGGCAGCAGUGGGGGAUAUUGCACAAUGGGGGGAACCCUGAUUCAGCGACGCCGCGUGGGUGAAGAAGCGCCUCGGCGCGUAAAGCCCUGUCAGCAGGGAAGAAAAUGACGGUACCUGAAGAAGAAGCCCCGGCUAACUACGUGCCAGCAGCCGCGGUAAUACGUAGGGGGCAAGCGUUAUCCGGAUUUACUGGGUGUAAAGGGAGCGUAGGCGGGAGUGCAAGUUGAAUGUAUAAACUAUCGGCUCAACUGAUAGAAGCGUUCAAAACUGCACUUCUUGAGUGAAGUAGAGGCAGGCGGAAUUCCUAGUGUAGCGGUGAAAUGCGUAGAUAUUAGGAGGAACACCAGUGGCGAAGGCGGCCUGCUGGGCUUUAACUGACGCUGAGGCUCAAAAGCGUGGGUAGCAAACAGGAUUAGAUACCCCUGUAAAG